This 542-nucleotide long non-coding RNA is filed under the name Pongo abelii (Sumatran orangutan). RNAcentral describes it as "lincRNA". The record is from RNAcentral. Lineage: Eukaryota; Metazoa; Chordata; Mammalia; Primates; Hominidae.
AGCCAUUUCUGUCUUGUGCCACUGGACAGAUGAUUCCUGCAUUUGAUGGAAUCUCCCUCUGUCAUCCCGGCUGGAGUGCAAUGGUGCAUUCUUGGCUCACUGCAACCUCUAUCUCGCAGGCACAAGUAAUCCUCCCACUUCAGCCUCUUGAGUAGCUGGGACCACAGGUGCACACCACCAUGCCAGGAGAAACAAAUGCCAAACAGUGAAGGUCAAGAAGGCCAAAGUGAUAUAUGCAAGUUCAAAAAGCGGAAGAAGCUUUUACACAGAGAAAUAUCAACCAGCCAGCUUUUCAUGACUGAUGCCUGAAAAUAUCAUUCACCUGUGUCUCUGAGCAUACUUGGCUUUGACUCUUAGUGAUAUUACAUGUAAUGUCAUGGCUAGAUAUUUCAAUUUCAGAAACAAAUGAUUCCACUGAAUAGUAAGACAUUUGCCAACUGGACAGUAAUUCAUAAGGAGAGGUUCAGAAACCGUAAGUUUUAUUAUGAAAAGGUAAGGAAAUCCAACCCUAGAUGGAGGUAACUUGAAAAGAAUGAUUGGUU